RNAcentral lists this long non-coding RNA (406 nucleotides) under Homo sapiens (human). RNAcentral describes it as "HSALNT0002337". The record is from RNAcentral. Lineage: Eukaryota; Metazoa; Chordata; Mammalia; Primates; Hominidae.
GCCGAACGCGCUAACCGAUUGCGCCACAGAGACAAGCGCUUCCGCUUCUACUGGUGAUAUGGGAAGGGCCCACUCACUGAACUAACUCCCUUCCCUCUACUCCCAGAGCCCGCCCGGCAGGACCACCGAGCAAGGCCUUGGAAAACCAGAGAGAUUAGAGCGAAUGGGGAAAUGGAGAGAGAACCUGAAAGAGCCCCAAACUCGAGGACCUAUUGCUCCCCAAGAAUAACAUCUUCCAGAAGAACUAGACAGAAAACUAGGCGUCUGGGAACUCUGAAAUCCUUGGAGGAGUAGCAUCAUCAUGACCCUCUGUGUUCCUUUUGGCAAAGGACUUGCUCCCAUUGUUUGCUUGUUCCAUUGUCUGUCUGUUAAAUAAAUAAAACCCUUUUCAUAUAUCUUUAAACUU